RNAcentral lists this ribosomal RNA (425 nucleotides) under uncultured bacterium. RNAcentral's name for it is "bacterial SSU rRNA". It matches the Rfam family "Bacterial small subunit ribosomal RNA", at positions 354 to 796 of the family's 1533-position model. The record is from RNAcentral.
GCAAGGAAUUUUCGUCAAUGGGGGCAACCCUGAACGAGCAACGCCGCGUGGAGGAUGACGGCCUUCGGGUUGUAAACUCCUUUUGGGGGGGAAGAGACUGACGGUACCCCCUGAAUAAGGCUCGGCUAACUCUGUGCCAGCAGCCGCGGUAAGACAGAGGAGCCAAGCGUUGUCCGGACUGACUGGGCGUAAAGCGCACGCAGGCGGCGCUGCGCGUGGGGUGUGAAAGCUCUUGGCUUAACUGAGAGAGGCCAUCCCAUACGGCAGUGCUCGAGCGGUGCAGAGGUCCGCGGAAUUGCCGGUGUAGUGGUGAAAUGCGUAGAGAUCGGCAGGAACACCCAGGGGGAAACCAGCGGACUGGGCAUCAGCUGACGCUCAGGUGCGACAGCGUGGGGAGCGAACCGGAUUAGAAACCCUUGUAGUCC